This 253-nucleotide ribosomal RNA is filed under the name uncultured bacterium. RNAcentral describes it as "partial 16S ribosomal RNA". It matches the Rfam family "Bacterial small subunit ribosomal RNA", at positions 524 to 776 of the family's 1533-position model. The record is from RNAcentral.
UACGGAGGGGGCUAGCGUUGUUCGGAAUUACUGGGCGUAAAGCGCACGUAGGCGGUUCAGCUAGUCAGAGGUGAAAUCCCCAGGCUCAACCUGGGAAUUGCCUUUGAUACUGCUGGACUAGAGGCCGGGAGAGGGUAGUGGAAUUCCCAGUGUAGAGGUGAAAUUCGUAGAUAUUGGGAAGAACACCGGUGGCGAAGGCGGCUACCUGGACCGGUACUGACGCUGAGGUGCGAAAGCGUGGGGAGCAAACAGG